AUACAUAGCUGACAGCCCCGAAACCGUGGUCCAGAAGGUGGUUUCCAAGGGCACGGUUCCCCAUUACACUUGGGAUUUGCCAAUUCACCCAUGAUUCUCCCCAGUGUGGGAAUUUGACUGUGUGAUUUGUGGUACUUGGGGACUGCGUUUAUGCUUUCCCCUG
This is a small nuclear RNA of Chionomys nivalis (European snow vole), 163 nucleotides long. RefSeq annotates it as U1 spliceosomal RNA. The transcript has a single exon. The record is from RefSeq and is a predicted model, not a curated record. NCBI's taxonomy places the organism in Eukaryota, Metazoa, Chordata, Mammalia, Rodentia, Cricetidae.